This 253-nucleotide ribosomal RNA is filed under the name uncultured bacterium. RNAcentral's name for it is "partial 16S ribosomal RNA". It matches the Rfam family "Bacterial small subunit ribosomal RNA", at positions 524 to 776 of the family's 1533-position model. The record is from RNAcentral.
UACGUAGGGUGCAAGCGUUGUCCGGAAUUAUUGGGCGUAAAGAGCUCGUAGGCGGUCAGUCGCGUCUGCUGUGAAAACUCGGGGCUUAACUCCGGGCCUGCAGUGGGUACGGGCUGACUAGAGUGCGGUAGGGGAGACUGGAAUUCCUGGUGUAGCGGUGAAAUGCGCAGAUAUCAGGAGGAACACCGGUGGCGAAGGCGGGUCUCUGGGCCGAUAUCGACGCUGAGGAGCGAAAGCGUGGGGAGCGAACAGG